UGGGGAAUCUUGCACAAUGGGGGAAACCCUGAUGCAGCGACGCCGCGUGAGCGAUGAAGGUUUUCGAAUCGUAAAGCUCUGUCCUAUGGGAAGAUAAUGACGGUACCAUGGGAGGAAGCCCCGGCUAACUACGUGCCAGCAGCCGCGGUAAUACGCAGGGGGCGAGCGUUGUCCGGAAUUACUGGGCGUAAAGGGUUCGCAGGCGGCAUGGCAAGUCCGAUGUAAAAGGCGAAGGCUCAACCUUCGUAAGCAUCGGAAACUGUCAAGCUUGAGUGAAGGAGAGGCAAGUGGAAUUCCUAGUGUAGCGGUGGAAUGCGUAGAUAUUAGGAGGAAUACCGGUGGCGAAGGCGACUUGCUGGACUUCAACUGACGCUGAGGAACGAAAGCGUGGGUAGCAAACAGG
Molecule: ribosomal RNA, 403 nt
Filed under: Fusobacteriota bacterium
Lineage: Bacteria; Fusobacteriati; Fusobacteriota
Description: Fusobacteria bacterium partial 16S ribosomal RNA
Rfam family: Bacterial small subunit ribosomal RNA
Source: RNAcentral